AUACUCAGCUGGCAGGGAGAGAGCAUGGUCACGAAGGUGGUCUUCCCAGGGUGAGGCUUAUCCCCUGCAUUCUGAAAGUGCUGACCCCUGAGAUUUCCCCACACAUGGGAAAAUAUAAAGCAUAACAUAUGGUAAUAAAGGACUGUGUCUGCACUCCCCUGCU
Small nuclear RNA from Nycticebus coucang (slow loris), 163 nucleotides. RefSeq annotates it as U1 spliceosomal RNA. The transcript has a single exon. Lineage: Eukaryota; Metazoa; Chordata; Mammalia; Primates; Lorisidae. The record is from RefSeq and is a predicted model, not a curated record.